Podarcis lilfordi (Lilford's wall lizard) is the source of this 76-nucleotide non-coding RNA. Lineage: Eukaryota; Metazoa; Chordata; Lepidosauria; Squamata; Lacertidae. The record is from the annotation of a GenBank genome assembly.
GCUCCAUGCUCAUAGCUCAGUUGGUAGAGAAUGAGACUCAACCUCAGGGUCGUGGGUUUGAUCCCCACAUCAGGCA